RNAcentral lists this non-coding RNA (70 nucleotides) under Paenibacillus sophorae. The record is from RNAcentral. Lineage: Bacteria; Bacillati; Bacillota; Bacilli; Caryophanales; Paenibacillaceae.
GGAGUAAAGCUUGCUGUGAGAAGUCAGCAGAGGCCAUAGUACCGGGAAGUUUUUUUUUCUCGGGAAGGGC